CACCUACGGGGGGCAGCAGUGGGGAAUAUUGCACAAUGGGGGAAACCCUGAUGCAGCAACGCCGCGUGAAGGAAGACGGUUUUCGGAUUGUAAACUUCUUUUCUUAGUGAAGAAGCAAGUGACGGUAGCUAAGGAAUAAGCAUCGGCUAACUACGUGCCAGCAGCCGCGGUAAUACGUAGGGGGCGAGCGUUGUCCGGAAUCACUGGGCGUAAAGGGCGCGUAGGCGGUAAUAUAAGUCAGAUGUGAAAGGUGGGGGCUCAACCCCUAGAGUGCAACUGAUACUGUAUAACUUGAGUGUGAGGGG
Molecule: ribosomal RNA, 305 nt
Filed under: uncultured bacterium
Lineage: Bacteria
Description: bacterial SSU rRNA
Rfam family: Bacterial small subunit ribosomal RNA
Source: RNAcentral